CGGGGCGGGGCGCACGGCGGCGAGCGCUAUCUGGAGCUGACCGUGCGGCUCUUAAUCCCUGGCCUUGGGAAAGUGAAUUGGCCUGAAUAGCAAGGAGGAGAACUUGGGUGUGGAAAUACCGGAUUGGCACGAGGGAUACCAACACCGGAAUAUGUGAUGAGAUGUGUGAAGAGCAUGGCAAUGGAUGCAAACUCCCUUUGUGUUUCUGGCUUUAAGCAGCUCUAUACUCUCAUGCUGUCCU
Molecule: long non-coding RNA, 241 nt
Filed under: Homo sapiens (human)
Lineage: Eukaryota; Metazoa; Chordata; Mammalia; Primates; Hominidae
Description: non-protein coding lnc-AMY1B-1:2
Source: RNAcentral